This 267-nucleotide ribosomal RNA is filed under the name uncultured bacterium. Its description in RNAcentral is "partial 16S ribosomal RNA". It matches the Rfam family "Bacterial small subunit ribosomal RNA", at positions 793 to 1055 of the family's 1533-position model. The record is from RNAcentral.
GUCCACGCCGUAAACGAUGAGUGCUAGGUGCUGUGGGUAUUGACCCCCGCGGUGCCGCAGCUAACGCGUUAAGCACUCCGCCUGGGGAGUACGGCCGCAAGGCUAAAACUCAAAGGAAUUGACGGGGGCCCGCACAAGCGGUGGAGCAUGUGGUUCAAUUCGACGCAACGCGCAGAACCUUACCUGGGGUUAAAUCCACCAGAAUCUUUCCAGAGAUGGAGGGGUGCCCUUCUGGGAACUGGUGAGAAGGUGCUGCAUGGCUGUCGU